This 73-nucleotide transfer RNA is filed under the name Camelus bactrianus (Bactrian camel). It matches the Rfam family "tRNA". Rfam says of the family: Transfer RNA (tRNA) molecules are approximately 80 nucleotides in length. Their secondary structure includes four short double-helical elements and three loops (D, anti-codon, and T loops). RNAcentral also lists the same sequence under 2 other names. The record is from Rfam by way of RNAcentral. Lineage: Eukaryota; Metazoa; Chordata; Mammalia; Artiodactyla; Camelidae.
GAGAGUAUAGCUCAGUGGCAGAGUGUAUGCCUAGCAAUGCACAAGGUCUUAGGUUCACUUCCCAGUACUUUCA